RNAcentral lists this long non-coding RNA (723 nucleotides) under Equus caballus (horse). Its description in RNAcentral is "lncRNA (ENSECAG00000049083.1)". The record is from RNAcentral. Lineage: Eukaryota; Metazoa; Chordata; Mammalia; Perissodactyla; Equidae.
ACAGAUGUCUUGGCAAAUGGUACCCCGGUUUCUUUCUAGCUGUCACUGAAUGUGCUGAAGCAGAGAUAAAAGAGUUCCUCUGGCUGCAGGUGAGCACUCCUGCUUCCUGUCCCUGGGAUGUACCAGAGGCUGCUGAUACACAGGAGGAAGACCCAAUGCAGGAUGAUUAUUUGAUCAACACUUUCUAACCUUUACUAGUCUCUCUUUAAAAAAGAGAGAGAGAGAGAAAAUACAUCUCAAGCUGGGAGCCUUCAUCAGGCAAUGCAGCCAGAAGUUGAGUCAGAAAAGAAAUUCAUCACAUCUUAUCAGAAUUGUAAUUGUCUGGACCUUAACCAGUUGUGCCAACCAAGUUACGUUCCCCCAGAGAGCCAGGGUACAAGUUUAAAAAUCGUAUGAUGAACAUCUGCUUUCUGUCCUCUCACUGUGUCUCUGUGACAGAUCGUCUACAUGCCAAGGAAGCCAGGGGUGGGUCCUCAUCUUGUUUUAUUCAUCAUCAUAUCCCCAGCGCAUAUCCACGUGAACACCACAUACAUGGAAGAUGCACAGUUGGCGCUUGUUGCUUGACUGAUGGCAGUUAAGCAGCUCUGCUUCUCAGGGAAGAAUGUCACAGUCACAGACUUUCUACCCAGGGCCCCAGGAGGCCAUGAUAUCAGGAAAUUUCCUGGGAAUUGGGCCAUAACUGCUUCCUCCCAUACCAAAAUAGAAAAAAAAAAUAAAGUCCAG